ACGCUGGCGGCGUGCUUAACACAUGCAAGUCGAACGGAAAGGUCUCUUCGGAGAUACUCGAGUGGCGAACGGGUGAGUAACACGUGGGUGAUCUGCCCUGCACUUCGGGAUAAGCCUGGGAAACUGGGUCUAAUACCGGAUAGGACCACGGGAUGCAUGUCUUGUGGUGGAAAGCGCUUUAGCGGUGUGGGAUGAGCCCGCGGCCUAUCAGCUUGUUGGUGGGGUGACGGCCUACCAAGGCGACGACGGGUAGCCGGCCUGAGAGGGUGUCCGGCCACACUGGGACUGAGAUACGGCCCAGACUCCUACGGGAGGCAGCAGUGGGGAAUAUUGCACAAUGGGCGCAAGCCUGAUGCAGCGACGCCGCGUGGGGGAUGACGGCCUUCGGGUUGUAAACCUCUUUCACCAUCGACGAAGGUCCGGGUUCUCUCGGAUUGACGGUAGGUGGAGAAGAAGCACCGGCCAACUACGUGCCAGCAGCCGCGGUAAUACGUAGGGUGCGAGCGUUGUCCGGAAUUACUGGGCGUAAAGAGCUCGUAGGUGGUUUGUCGCGUUGUUCGUGAAAUCUCACGGCUUAACUGUGAGCGUGCGGGCGAUACGGGCAGACUAGAGUACUGCAGGGGAGACUGGAAUUCCUGGUGUAGCGGUGGAAUGCGCAGAUAUCAGGAGGAACACCGGUGGCGAAGGCGGGUCUCUGGGCAGUAACUGACGCUGAGGAGCGAAAGCGUGGGGAGCGAACAGGAUUAGAUACCCUGGUAGUCCACGCCGUAAACGGUGGGUACUAGGUGUGGGUUUCCUUCCUUGGGAUCCGUGCCGUAGCUAACGCAUUAAGUACCCCGCCUGGGGAGUACGGCCGCAAGGCUAAAACUCAAAGGAAUUGACGGGGGCCCGCACAAGCGGCG
Molecule: ribosomal RNA, 902 nt
Filed under: Mycobacterium tuberculosis
Lineage: Bacteria; Bacillati; Actinomycetota; Actinomycetes; Mycobacteriales; Mycobacteriaceae
Description: bacterial SSU rRNA
Rfam family: Bacterial small subunit ribosomal RNA
Source: RNAcentral